RNAcentral lists this transfer RNA (73 nucleotides) under Ailuropoda melanoleuca (giant panda). It matches the Rfam family "tRNA". Rfam says of the family: Transfer RNA (tRNA) molecules are approximately 80 nucleotides in length. Their secondary structure includes four short double-helical elements and three loops (D, anti-codon, and T loops). The record is from Rfam by way of RNAcentral. Lineage: Eukaryota; Metazoa; Chordata; Mammalia; Carnivora; Ursidae.
GCCUGCUUGGCUCAGUCAGUGGAGCAUGAGACUCUUGAUCUCAGGGUUGUAAGUUCAAACCCCACGGUGGGUG